GGGGGUAGAGCUAGGUGGUAGAGCGUGUGCUUAGCAUGUGCGAGGUCAUGGGUUCAAUUCCCAGUACCUCCA
Molecule: transfer RNA, 72 nt
Filed under: Camelus bactrianus (Bactrian camel)
Lineage: Eukaryota; Metazoa; Chordata; Mammalia; Artiodactyla; Camelidae
Also listed under: 2 other names
Rfam family: tRNA
About the family: Transfer RNA (tRNA) molecules are approximately 80 nucleotides in length. Their secondary structure includes four short double-helical elements and three loops (D, anti-codon, and T loops).
Source: Rfam by way of RNAcentral